This 313-nucleotide unclassified non-coding RNA is filed under the name Hevea brasiliensis (rubber tree). Lineage: Eukaryota; Viridiplantae; Streptophyta; Magnoliopsida; Malpighiales; Euphorbiaceae. The record is from RNAcentral.
AUUUUUUUUUAUACUUUUUUUUAAAUAAUAAAGGUAAUGAAAAUUCGAGAAACUAAAUUAAUUUAAAAUCUGAAUUAUUCUUCUAAAUUAAGAUCAGAUCUGCUAAAAAUUGCUAAAUUAUGACUUUAGGGUGACAGAAUUUCAUUCAGAUUGUUAGUCUGGUCACCCAAAACUAAGUUCUCGAAAGGAGCAUUAGAAAAUCUAGUGCGUAUUCUUAAAAGCAUUUUUGAAGUGGAAGAUAAUUUCAAUGGAUUGAUUUUUCUUUUUUUAAAGAUAGUGCUUUAGAGUAAGAAAAAUAAAAUUUUAUUUUUCU